GACGAACGCUGGCGGCGUGCCUAAUACAUGCAAGUCGAACGAACCGCGACUAAGUGCUUGCACUAAGUCAAGGUGAGUGGCGAACGGGUGAGUAACACGUGGGUAACCUACCUCAUAGUGGGGGAUAACAGUCGGAAACGACUGCUAAUACCGCAUAGGACAUAGGAUCACAUGAUCCAGUGAGGAAAGGUGGCGCAAGCUAUCGCUAAGAGAUGGACCCGCGGUGCAUUAGCUAGUUGGUAGGGUAAAGGCCUACCAAGGCGAUGAUGCAUAGCCGACCUGAGAGGGUGAUCGGCCACAUUGGGACUGAGACACGGCCCAAACUCCUACGGGAGGCAGCAGUAGGGAAUCUUCCGCAAUGGACGCAAGUCUGACGGAGCAACGCCGCGUGAGUGAAGAAGGUCUUCGGAUCGUAAAGCUCUGUUGUUAGAGAAGAACAGCGCAUAGAGUAACUGCUAUGCGUGUGACGGUAGCUAAACAGAAAGCCACGGCUAACUACGUG
RNAcentral lists this ribosomal RNA (502 nucleotides) under uncultured bacterium. Its description in RNAcentral is "partial 16S ribosomal RNA". It matches the Rfam family "Bacterial small subunit ribosomal RNA", at positions 28 to 507 of the family's 1533-position model. The record is from RNAcentral.